This 646-nucleotide unclassified non-coding RNA is filed under the name Neoconiothyrium viticola. RNAcentral's name for it is "sequence contains 28S rRNA gene". It matches the Rfam family "Eukaryotic large subunit ribosomal RNA", at positions 262 to 928 of the family's 3401-position model. The record is from RNAcentral. Lineage: Eukaryota; Fungi; Ascomycota; Dothideomycetes; Pleosporales; Coniothyriaceae.
GAGUCGAGUUGUUUGGGAAUGCAGCUCUAAAUGGGAGGUAAAUUUCUUCUAAAGCUAAAUACUGGCCAGAGACCGAUAGCGCACAAGUAGAGUGAUCGAAAGAUGAAAAGCACUUUGGAAAGAGAGUCAAAUAGCACGUGAAAUUGUUGAAAGGGAAGCGCUUGCAGCCAGACUUGCCUGUAGUUGCUCAUCCGGACUCUUGUCCGGUGCACUCUUCUGCGGGCAGGCCAGCAUCAGUUUGGGCGGUUGGAGAAAGGUCUCUAUCACGUACAUCCCUUCGGGGUUGCCUUAUAGGGGAGACGUCAUGCAACCAGCCUGGACUGAGGUCCGCGCAUCUGCUAGGAUGCUGGCGUAAUGGCUGUAAGCGGCCCGUCUUGAAACACGGACCAAGGAGUCUAACAUCUAUGCGAGUGUUUGGGUGUCAAGCCCGAGCGCGUAAUGAAAGUGAACGGAGGUGGGAACCCUUAAGGGUGCACCAUCGACCGAUCCUGAUGUCUUCGGAUGGAUUUGAGUAAGAGCAUGGCUGUUGGGACCCGAAAGAUGGUGAACUAUGCUUGAAUAGGGUGAAGCCAGAGGAAACUCUGGUGGAGGCUCGCAGCGGUUCUGACGUGCAAAUCGAUCGUCAAAUUUGGGCAUAGGGGCGAAA